GACUUGGUUAUGGCUUCAUAAAGAUGGAGUGCAGCAAGUACAAAAAUGGACCAGCUUGUUCAGUUUAAAUAUGAACUGGUCCUUUGAAUAUAAAAUAUCCAUAACCCUUAACCAAAAUUAUACAUAUUAUCUUCUAAAACUAUCGUCUUCAGAAUCUAAAUCGGAAAUUAACAAAUUAUUGGAACUGCAUUGCCAAUUUAGAGAUUAAUAGAACAUAUACCUCACAUAGAAGAAAUUUGUAAGUACUAUAGUUGAUGUACAUUAAAGUGAGGGAGUGAAGAACAAAAUGAAGUCAUAGUAGAUAGUGGCCCAGUCCAGAAAUAUCGAUCACAUAUACGGAAUUGCAAGUUAGGAAACUAAAUGCAUCACCAAGACCCAGUCAUGCACAGAUUGCAAUCAUAAAGAACCUUAAAACACAUUCGAACCUGCUUAUUUUGUUCUUAGCUUGAGCAAGUUAUUAAGUUGAAAAAAAAAAAGUAAAACUCAAGUAGUUUAUUAUUUCUCCAUUUUUUUGAUAUUCUUUAGUUUAUCAAGUCAAAGAGUUUCAUUCUUGAGGUAUCAUUUUUCCUAGAUCCCUCAUUGAUAGCACCAAGUAAAUUUCAGAUAUAAGGAAAGUGAAGCAAUAAUCGUAGCGCUUCGAUGGCUAACAUUGGCUAGCUUUUAGCUA
RNAcentral lists this long non-coding RNA (667 nucleotides) under Olea europaea subsp. europaea. Lineage: Eukaryota; Viridiplantae; Streptophyta; Magnoliopsida; Lamiales; Oleaceae. The record is from RNAcentral.